Molecule: non-coding RNA, 249 nt
Organism: Paramuricea clavata
Lineage: Eukaryota; Metazoa; Cnidaria; Anthozoa; Malacalcyonacea; Plexauridae
Source: the annotation of a GenBank genome assembly
UGGGACUAGCUAACAGUCGUGGGUCGUGGGUAGAAUGUCGUGGGUCGUGGGUAAAAAGGCGUGGGUCGUGGGUAAAAAGGCGUGGGUCGUGGGUAAAAAGGCGUGGGUCGUGGGUAAAAAGGCGUGGGUCGUGGGUAAAAAGGCGUGGGUCGUGGGUAAAAAGGCGUGGGUCGUGGGUAAAAAGGCGUGGGUCGUGGGUAAAAAGGCGUGGGUCGUGGGUUAAAAGGCGUGGGUAAAAAGGCGUGGGUC